GGCUCAGGAUGAACGCUAGCUACAGGCUUAACACAUGCAAGUCGAGGGGAAACGAUAGAGAAAGCUUGCUUUUUUCUAGGCGUCGACCGGCGCACGGGUGAGUAACGCGUAUCCAACCUGCCCAUCACUUGGGGAUAACCUUGCGAAAGUAAGACUAAUACCCAAUGAUAUCUCUAGAAGACAUCUGAAAGAGAUUAAAGAUUUAUCGGUGAUGGAUGGGGAUGCGUCUGAUUAGCUUGUUGGCGGGGUAACGGCCCACCAAGGCGACGAUCAGUAGGGGUUCUGAGAGGAAGGUCCCCCACAUUGGAACUGAGACACGGUCCAAACUCCUACGGGAGGCAGCAGUGAGGAAUAUUGGUCAAUGGACGAGAGUCUGAACCAGCCAAGUAGCGUGCAGGAUGACGGCCCUAUGGGUUGUAAACUGCUUUUAUAAGGGAAUAAAGUGGGAGUCGUGACUCUUUUGCAUGUACCUUAUGAAUAAGGACCGGCUAAUUCCGUG
RNAcentral lists this ribosomal RNA (499 nucleotides) under uncultured bacterium. Its description in RNAcentral is "bacterial SSU rRNA". It matches the Rfam family "Bacterial small subunit ribosomal RNA", at positions 21 to 507 of the family's 1533-position model. The record is from RNAcentral.